GAUUCUGCUCGAGUACGUGAACACAUCUUGUGAUACAGGACAUUGUGUGAUAACAGUAUGAUGUAUUCCUUUGAACCUUACUCUAUAUUCAUGGUGUUGCUCAAUGCAGUGUGUUAUGCUUGAUCAGCUAAAUAUCUGCCAGACAUUACGUUGUUUCAUUUCCCUAUAAAAGUAACACCCCUUGUACAAUAAAGUUGAGCUUAGAAUGAACUACACCACUUGUGUGACUCAUUCUUGGUUCCCGGGUACCUGCUCUUCUCUGCUCAGAUAACCCAACCUGAACCAAAAUAAUAUUUAUGAUCUCGAAGGCAAGAAUAUACAAUUUAUUCUUACAGCUGGGGGCUCGUCCGGGAUAGGGGGGAAUCUCCUAAGAACCAGGGAGUGAAACAUCCCGAGAUCAGGAGAUCAAGAGAAAAAGACGCACCGGUGAAUCAGGCGGACCUACAUAAAAAAGGGGAAAAGCCUACUCACCCCUUUGUUCCAGGACAGAGUGUGCUCAUCAAAAGCCUGAAACCAACGAAGGUGGGAGAACCAAGAUAUCUUGGACCAGCCACUGUGAUCGCAGUAACCCGGACGGGAGUGCUGACAGAUUAUCAACCGCAGUGGAUACAAGCCUCACGCCUGAAGAAUUACUCUACAGGAGAGCAGGCAAGCUCCAAUUUCACAUAGAAUCUCGAACGGGGAUUCACCUUUAUGUUUAACAGGGAGGAAAAGGCACUGGUUAAGCGGAGGAAGGAACUACCUCUUAUAGUGAGGUGGGGGUUGUCCAAAGCAAGAAGAUAGUUGGCCCAUUGAGUCAAAACAGUGCUAACUCCUUAAACCACUCUGUUACCAUUAAGGGCUAAAUUCUAUUGAUGGACAUACCACCGUUGAUUUCAACGAGGAACUUGGAUUCUACACACUGUUGUGCCUAUUGUUAUAUUCAUAGUGAUUCUUCUGCUAAUAGCACCCUGUAUGAUGCAAUGUAUUAGUACUUCUAUAAUGCGUUCUGUUACAGCGCUCACUACAGGAAAUACCUACCAAGCAAUGCUGCAUGUAUCCAAUCCAGUACAGACCUUUGUUAGGGUUCCAGAGCAGUUGGAGAUGAAUGUGAUUGAAGCUGAGGAUUUCCCAACAGAUGCUGAUAGCUCUACUGGAGAUGAUUAUGUGCACACUUAUGAGUUAGAGCCUGAACUGUAUAACAGAAAUGAAUACUAACUGAAGAUAUAUAUCACAUUUGAUUACUGUGUAUGAAAGUACAUAAGAUAUGCCCAAGAUUGUUCACGUUUGUGUAAGACAUGUCUUCGACUGUCUUAAAGUGGCCAUUGUGAGAUUCUGCUCGAGUACGUGAACACAUCUUGUGAUACAGGACAUUGUGUGAUAACAGUAUGAUGUAUUCCUUUGAACCUUACUCUAUAUUCAUGGUGUUGCUCAAUGCAGUGUGUUAUGCUUGAUCAGCUAAAUAUCUGCCAGACAUUACGUUGUUUCAUUUCCCUAUAAAAGUAACACCCCUUGUACAAUAAAGUUGAGCUUAGAAUGAACUACA
Long non-coding RNA from Carassius auratus (goldfish), 1525 nucleotides. RefSeq lists it as uncharacterized. The transcript is spliced from 2 exons. The record is from RefSeq and is a predicted model, not a curated record. Lineage: Eukaryota; Metazoa; Chordata; Actinopteri; Cypriniformes; Cyprinidae.